AUUUUUUUUUUAUAUGUUUGGAUUAACCUAAAAUGUUUGCAAUGCAGGCGUGUGGUUCUUCCAGCGGAAGUGUUAAAGCUACUUGCAAAGAAUCGGCUUCUUUCUGAGGUUGCACCAGAUAUGGCCCUUGAAUUUUUGGCAGGAGCACCGUUUCAGCUCAUGUACGACAUGGUUAAGGUAGCGCUCCGGAAUACGAAGUUAUUCAGGUCUCAACUUAGGCAGCUGGAAAACAUACUCAAAAUUCUCCAGCCUCAAAUUCUUGAGCAGAUAAGACAAAACAAUGUGCAGC
This is a long non-coding RNA of Rosa chinensis, 289 nucleotides long. RefSeq lists it as uncharacterized. The transcript is spliced from 2 exons. The record is from RefSeq and is a predicted model, not a curated record. NCBI's taxonomy places the organism in Eukaryota, Viridiplantae, Streptophyta, Magnoliopsida, Rosales, Rosaceae.